Molecule: ribosomal RNA, 450 nt
Filed under: uncultured bacterium
Lineage: Bacteria
Description: partial 16S ribosomal RNA
Rfam family: Bacterial small subunit ribosomal RNA
Source: RNAcentral
GUGGGGAAUUUUGGACAAUGGGCGCAAGCCUGAUCCAGCCAUGCCGCGUGCAGGAUGAAGGCCUUCGGGUUGUAAACUGCUUUUGUACGGAACGAAACGGCUCUUUCUAAUAAAGAGGGCUAAUGACGGUACCGUAAGAAUAAGCACCGGCUAACUACGUGCCAGCAGCCGCGGUAAUACGUAGGGUGCGAGCGUUAAUCGGAAUUACUGGGCGUAAAGCGUGCGCAGGCGGUGAUGUAAGACAGAUGUGAAAUCCCCGGGCUCAACCUGGGAACUGCAUUUGGGACUGCAUCGCUGGAGUGCGGCAGAGGAGGAUGGAAUUCCGCGUGUAGCAGUGAAAUGCGUAGAUAUGCGGAGGAACACCGAUGGCGAAGGCAAUCCCCUGGGCCUGCACUGACGCUCAUGCACGAAAGCGUGGGGAGCAAACAGGAUUAGAUACCCGAGUAGUCC